Long non-coding RNA from Suricata suricatta (meerkat), 281 nucleotides. RefSeq lists it as uncharacterized. The record is from RefSeq and is a predicted model, not a curated record. Lineage: Eukaryota; Metazoa; Chordata; Mammalia; Carnivora; Herpestidae. The transcript is spliced from 2 exons.
CCUGAGCCAAAAUCAAUAGUUAGAUGCUUACUGACUGAGCCACCCAGGCGCCCUGGAAGCCUGGGUUUUUAAUUGUCAGUGGAUAAGAAGGAAGGAUGUUUCCCACUCUCCAAGGGCUUUGGGAAUGACUGACUGCAUGAGUGUCGUCGGUGUACUAGCUGAAAUAACAGGAAGUAUCUGACUGUAAUUCCAAGGAAACAUGGACUCCUUUGUUUUAUCUCUUAAUACAAUUUUAUUGUUUUUUAAGUGAAAAAGUAAAUAUUAAAUACUAUUAUACAGUA